GACGAACGCUGGCGGCGUGCUUAACACAUGCAAGUCGAACGGAAAGGCCCUGCUUUUGUGGGGUGCUCGAGUGGCGAACGGGUGAGUAACACGUGAGUAACCUGCCCUUGACUUUGGGAUAACUUCAGGAAACUGGGGCUAAUACCGUAUAGGAGCUCCUGCUGCAUGGUGGGGAUUGGAAAGUUUCGGCGGUUGCGGAUGGACUCGCGGGUUAUCAGCUUGUUGGUGGGGGUGUGGCUUACCAAGGCUUUGAAGGGUACCCGGCCCGGGAGGGUGACCGGCCACAUUGGGACUGAGAUACGGCCCAGACUCCUACGGGAGGCAGCAGUGGGGAGUAUUGCACAAUGGGAGGAAGCCUGAUGCAGAAACGCCGCGUGCGGGAUGACGGCCUUCGGGUUGUAAACCGCUUUCGCCUGUGACGCAGCGUGAGUGACGGUAAUGGGUAAAGAAGCACCGGCUAACUACGUG
Molecule: ribosomal RNA, 468 nt
Filed under: uncultured bacterium
Lineage: Bacteria
Description: partial 16S ribosomal RNA
Rfam family: Bacterial small subunit ribosomal RNA
Source: RNAcentral